GCCUUUCCUGCGGAAUAGCUCCGGGAAACUGGAAUUAAUACCGCAUACGCCCUACGGGGGAAAGAUUUAUCGGGGAAGGAUUGGCCCGCGUUGGAUUAGCUAGUUGGUGGGGUAAAGGCCUACCAAGGCGACGAUCCAUAGCUGGUCUGAGAGGAUGAUCAGCCACAUUGGGACUGAGACACGGCCCAAACUCCUACGGGAGGCAGCAGUGGGGAAUAUUGGACAAUGGGCGCAAGCCUGAUCCAGCCAUGCCGCGUGAGUGAUGAAGGCCUUAGGGUUGUAAAGCUCUUUCACCGGAGAAGAUAAUGACGGUAUCCGGAGAAGAAGCCCCGGCUAACUUCGUGCCAGCAGCCGCGGUAAUACGAAGGGGGCUAGCGUUGUUCGGAAUUACUGGGCGUAAAGCGCACGUAGGCGGAUAUUUAAGUCAGGGGUGAAAUCCCAGAGCUCAACUCUGGAACUGCCUUUGAUACUGGGUAUCUUGAGUAUGGAAGAGGUAAGUGGAAUUCCGAGUGUAGAGGUGAAAUUCGUAGAUAUUCGGAGGAACACCAGUGGCGAAGGCGGCUUACUGGUCCAUUACUGACGCUGAGGUGCGAAAGCGUGGGGAGCAAACAGGAUUAGAUACCCUGUUAGUCCACGCCGUAAACGAUGAAUGUUAGCCGUCGGGCAGUAUACUGUUCGGUGCGCAGCUGAAGCCUUAAACAUUCCGCCUGGGGAGACGGUCGCAAGAUAAAACUCUAAGGAAUUGACGGGGGCCCGCACAAGCGGUGGAGCUGUGGUUUAA
Molecule: ribosomal RNA, 781 nt
Filed under: Rhizobium sp. LR47
Lineage: Bacteria; Pseudomonadati; Pseudomonadota; Alphaproteobacteria; Hyphomicrobiales; Rhizobiaceae
Description: bacterial SSU rRNA
Rfam family: Bacterial small subunit ribosomal RNA
Source: RNAcentral